RNAcentral lists this microRNA precursor (83 nucleotides) under Pan paniscus (pygmy chimpanzee). RNAcentral's name for it is "miRNA (ENSPPAG00000002898.1)". The record is from RNAcentral. Lineage: Eukaryota; Metazoa; Chordata; Mammalia; Primates; Hominidae.
UUAGGUUGGUGCAAAAAUAAUUGUGGUUUUUGCCAUUGAAAGUAAUGGCAAAACCCGCAAUUGCUUUUGUCCCAACCUUAAUA